Molecule: RNA transcript, 2824 nt
Organism: Delphinapterus leucas (beluga whale)
Lineage: Eukaryota; Metazoa; Chordata; Mammalia; Artiodactyla; Monodontidae
Gene: KLHL6
Gene name: kelch like family member 6
Source: RefSeq, a predicted model, not a curated record
UUGGGCACUUCUUCAGUCUGGAUGUUGAUGGCAGGACAAAGGGGCACCUGGACCAUGGACAACGUGGUAGAGAAGAGUUUGGAAGGGCCCCUGGCACCUUCUACAGAUGAGCCCUCCCAGAAAAGGGGAGACCUGGUAGAAAUCUUAAAUGGGGAUAAGGUAAAAUUUGACGACGCUGGACUCUCCUUAAUUCUGCAGAAUGGCCUGGAGACCCUCCGAGUGGAAAACGCUCUGACAGAUGUCAUCUUGUGUGUGGACAUUCAGGAAUUCUCCUGCCACCGCGUGGUGCUUGCCGCGGCCAGCAACUAUUUCAGGGCCAUGUUCUGCAAUGAUUUAAAGGAAAAGUAUGAGGAGAGGAUCAUCAUCAAAGGGGUCGACGCGGAGACCAUGCACACUCUUCUGAACUACACGUACACCAGCAAGGCGCUGAUCACCAAGCAGAAUGUCCAGCGGGUCCUGGAAGCUGCUAACCUUUUCCAGUUCCUGCGGAUGGUGGAUGCCUGUGCGAGCUUCCUCACAGAAGCCUUGAACCCAGAAAACUGUGUUGGAAUACUGAGGCUGGCAGACACACAUUCCUUGGACAGUCUAAAGAAGCAGGUUCAAAGUUACAUCAUCCAGAACUUUGUGCAGAUUCUGAACUCCGAAGAGUUCCUUGAACUUCCUGUGGAUACCCUGUACCACAUCUUGAAGAGUGAUGACCUUUAUGUGACAGAAGAGUCUCAGGUGUUUGAGACUGUGAUGAGCUGGGUCAGGCACAAACAGUCAGAACGACUCUGCUUGCUCCCCUAUGUCCUGGAGAACGUGCGCUUGCCGCUUCUGGACCCAUGGUACUUUGUGGAGAUGGUGGAAGCGGAUCCUCUCAUCAGACAAUGCCCAGAGGUCUUCCCGCUGCUACAGGAAGCCAGGAUGUACCACCUUUCUGGCAAUGAGAUCAUUUCGGAGCGCACCAAGCCCAGGAUGCAUGAGUUCCAGUCUGAGGUGUUCAUGAUCAUCGGUGGCUGCACGAAGGAUGAACGUUUUGUGGCGGAGGUAACCUGCCUGGAUCCCCUGAGGCGCAGCCGCCUGGAGGUGGCCAAGCUCCCCAUGACAGAGCACGAGCUGGACAGUGAGAAUAAGAAGUGGGUGGAGUUUGCAUGCGUGACAUUAAAAAAUGAGGUCUACAUCUCAGGUGGCAAAGAAACACAGCAUGAUGUUUGGAAAUAUAAUUCUUCAAUCAACAAGUGGAUUCAAAUUGAGUAUUUGAACAUAGGCCGCUGGAGGCAUAAGAUGGUGGUGCUUGGGGGCAAGGUCUAUGUGAUCGGAGGUUUCGAUGGCUUGCAGAGGAUCAACAACGUGGAGACCUAUGACCCCUUCCACAACUGCUGGUCAGAGGCUGCACCCCUCCUUAUCCAUGUCAGUUCCUUCGCAGCCACCAGCCAUAAGAAGAAGCUCUAUGUGAUUGGGGGAGGGCCCAAUGGGAAACUGGCCACGGACAAGACUCAGUGUUACGACCCUUCAACCAAUAAGUGGAAUUUAAAGUCGACCAUGCCAGUAGAGGCUAAAUGCAUCAAUGCAGUGAGUUUCCGGGACCGUAUCUAUGUGGUUGGAGGGGCCAUGAGAGCGCUGUACGCCUACAGCCCUCUGGAGGACAGCUGGUGCCUGGUGACCCAGCUCAGCCACGAGAGGGCCAGCUGCGGCAUCGCGCCCUGCAACAACCGGCUCUACAUCACUGGGGGGCGGGACGAGAAGAACGAGGUCAUCGCCACGGUGCUGUGCUGGGACCCCGAGGCCCAGAAACUGACGGAGGAGUGCGUCCUGCCUCGGGGGGUGUCGCACCACGGCAGUGUCACCAUCAGGAAGUCGUACACCCACAUUCGGAGGAUCGUGCCUGGAGCUGUGUCGGUCUGACUGCGGGAGCGCGGAGGGCGGAGCCACGCUGGGAGCCCUCCUCCCUCUCGCCCGCAUCGGUCCCUCUAAAGCAGCUAGCGGAGCUUGACUUACAGGCUGUGCAUACAUCAGGGGUUCACCGCAGCUCCCCAUGGCGGCUCCUUGGAAGUCACAGCUUUGGGACUUGAGACCAGCCAGGACUGUCUGUGAGACCUACCUCAGGAGGAAAGAAGAAUAAUACUUGACAUUCAAGACACACCUGUCCCAUGCCAGGUUCGAUACCGGGCACUUUUGUAUACCAAUUCCUUUAACCGUCAAAUGACCUGGUGACUGGAUUUUAUUACUCCCAUUCUACAGGAGGCCCAUUGUGGACUGGAACUGUCAUGGCUGGACAGAACUGUACCUUCAGCACAGCCCAGUGCCCUAGCCUCUUAAUGUCCAACAGUUGUAUUGCAAUGUAGAAGAGGUUUUUGCAGAGACUCAGAAUACCGGUUUUGUUUUUCCGGGGCGGGGGGAGGGUUGUCUUUGGUUUUGUUUCUUCAGUGUAAACAUCCUUGCAUUGCUGGCCACUGUUGAAUGACUGGCUCUUCUUGACAGCACACUUUCUACUUUUUAGACAGUGAUUUGGGUCCAUGUCCCUGUGACCCCACCCUCCUGGAACCUUCGUUUUCAGGAUCCUUUUAAUCCCUUCUAUUUGGUUUUUGGAUCAGCUUGGCAUAGUUUUGACUCAAAGAACAGCGUCUGUUCUUCACUCUAAGAGAUGGAGCUUUCAUAGGAGCUCACUGGAAAUUCAUUCUAAUCCCCAAAUUGGGGACACAGAUUAAGAGAUCCUGUUUCAUGUGCUGUACUUAAAAGGCAGUAACAGGGGCUUCCCUGGUGGCGCAGUGGUUAAGAAUACGCCUGCCAAUGCAGGGGACGUGGGUUCGAGCCCUGGUCCGGAGACACCCCACAUGCCGCG